RNAcentral lists this ribosomal RNA (915 nucleotides) under uncultured bacterium. Its description in RNAcentral is "bacterial SSU rRNA". It matches the Rfam family "Bacterial small subunit ribosomal RNA", at positions 10 to 915 of the family's 1533-position model. The record is from RNAcentral.
AGUUUGAUCCUGGCUCAGGAUGAACGCUAGCUACAGGCUUAACACAUGCAAGUCGAGGGGAAACGACAUCGAAAGCUUGCUUUUGAUGGGCGUCGACCGGCGCACGGGUGAGUAACGCGUAUCCAACCUGCCCACCACUUGGGGAUAACCUUGCGAAAGUAAGACUAAUACCCAAUGAUAUCUCUAGAAGACAUCUGAAAGAGAUUAAAGAUUUAUCGGUGAUGGAUGGGGAUGCGUCUGAUUAGCUUGUUGGCGGGGUAACGGCCCACCAAGGCGACGAUCAGUAGGGGUUCUGAGAGGAAGGUCCCCCACAUUGGAACUGAGACACGGUCCAAACUCCUACGGGAGGCAGCAGUGAGGAAUAUUGGUCAAUGGACGAGAGUCUGAACCAGCCAAGUAGCGUGCAGGAUGACGGCCCUAUGGGUUGUAAACUGCUUUUAUAAGGGAAUAAAGUGAGUCUCGUGAGACUUUUUGCAUGUACCUUAUGAAUAAGGACCGGCUAAUUCCGUGCCAGCAGCCGCGGUAAUACGGAAGGUCCGGGCGUUAUCCGGAUUUAUUGGGUUUAAAGGGAGCGUAGGCCGGAGAUUAAGCGUGUUGUGAAAUGUAGACGCUCAACGUCUGCACUGCAGCGCGAACUGGUUUCCUUGAGUACGCACAAAGUGGGCGGAAUUCGUGGUGUAGCGGUGAAAUGCUUAGAUAUCACGAAGAACUCCGAUUGCGAAGGCAGCUCACUGGAGCGCAACUGACGCUGAAGCUCGAAAGUGCGGGUAUCGAACAGGAUUAGAUACCCUGGUAGUCCGCACGGUAAACGAUGGAUGCCCGCUGUUGGUCUGAAUAGGUCAGCGGCCAAGCGAAAGCAUUAAGCAUCCCACCUGGGGAGUACGCCGGCAACGGUGAAACUCAAAGGAAUUGACG